RNAcentral lists this long non-coding RNA (681 nucleotides) under Marmota monax (woodchuck). The record is from RNAcentral. Lineage: Eukaryota; Metazoa; Chordata; Mammalia; Rodentia; Sciuridae.
CUUUGAACUUGUGAUCCUCAGCCUCCCUGUCUUUUGUCUUUUUGAUAGGAGAAACAGUUGUGUUCCCUUUAUUUGGAGUCCACAGUUGUUUUGAAGCAUAAUUGGGGUGAACACCAAUGCCUCUGCAUAUCUACUCCUGGUCUGUUUCUUAAUGUUCUUGUCCCUCACAUCAGAUGUUAGGAUCUUUAAGAUAAUGACUUGAGGUAGCUUUAAAACAUAUCCAAAAAUUCUUAAGACACUCCAUCCACUGAAAGGUAGAGUUUAUGUCUUCUUCCACCCUGAACCCAGGCAUAUUGAUAGCCAGAUUUCCAUCAGAGUGUGAUGGAAAAUAAUGUGUGAAUUCUAAGACGAAAUCUGAAAAUAUGCUGCAGCUUCUACUGUGUUUGCUGAACACUUGAUUUUAGAAUCUUGAGCUGCAGUGGAAUGUCAGAUCCCAGGCUCGUAUGGCCUGUAUGGAUCUGUAUGAGUUGGUAUGUAUGUAAGCUAGAUAUGUGUGCUCUGGUAGACAAGACCUGCAAUGUCUUAGCAGACAGCCAGCCUCAGACACCAGACAUAGGAGUGAAGAUCUUCCACAGGAAUCCAGCCCCUAGCAGUUGGGUCUUCCAGACUUCCCAGCUAAGGCCCCAGAUAUCAUGGAGAGUGGAGACAAACCUUUUCUUUCAUCCCUUCUGAAUUCCCGAC